AGUGAACGCUGGCGGCAGGCCUAACACAUGCAAGUCGAGCGGCAGCGCAGCAGUAGCAAUACUGUGGGCGGCGAGCGGCGGACGGGUGAGGAAUACAUCGGAAUCUACCUUCUUGUGGGGGAUAACGUAGGGAAACUUACGCUAAUACCGCAUAAGACCUGAGGGUGUAAGCAGGGGACCGCAAGGCCUUGCGCGAGAAG
RNAcentral lists this ribosomal RNA (200 nucleotides) under uncultured bacterium. RNAcentral describes it as "partial 16S ribosomal RNA". It matches the Rfam family "Bacterial small subunit ribosomal RNA", at positions 29 to 224 of the family's 1533-position model. The record is from RNAcentral.